Molecule: ribosomal RNA, 490 nt
Filed under: uncultured bacterium
Lineage: Bacteria
Description: partial 16S ribosomal RNA
Rfam family: Bacterial small subunit ribosomal RNA
Source: RNAcentral
AAUGAACGCUGGCGGCAUGCCUUACACAUGCAAGUCGAACGGCAGCAUGACCUAGCUUGCUAGGUUGAUGGCGAGUGGCGAACGGGUGAGUAAUGCAUCGGAACGUGCCUUUUAGUGGGGGAUAACGUAGCGAAAGUUACGCUAAUACCGCAUGUUCUCUGAGGAGGAAAGCAGGGGACCUUCGGGCCUUGCGCUAGAAGAGCGGCCGAUGUCGGAUUAGCUAGUUGGUGAGGUAAAGGCUCACCAAGGCAACGAUCCGUAGCGGGUCUGAGAGGAUGAUCCGCCACACUGGGACUGAGACACGGCCCAGACUCCUACGGGAGGCAGCAGUGGGGAAUUUUGGACAAUGGGCGCAAGCCUGAUCCAGCCAUGCCGCGUGAGUGAAGAAGGCCUUCGGGUUGUAAAGCUCUUUCGGCUGGGAAGAAAUCGCACCCUCUAAUACAGGGUGUGGAUGACGGUACCAGCAUAAGAAGCACCGGCUAACUACGUG